Molecule: ribosomal RNA, 465 nt
Filed under: uncultured bacterium
Lineage: Bacteria
Description: bacterial SSU rRNA
Rfam family: Bacterial small subunit ribosomal RNA
Source: RNAcentral
UGAGGAAUAUUGCGCAAUGGGCGAAAGCCUGACCGAGCGAUGCCGCGUGCGGGAUGAAGGCCUUCGGGUUGUAAACCGCUGUCGUAGGGGAGAAAGGGUCGUUGAAGAAACGACUUUGAUCUAUCCUAGGAGGAAGUCCGGGCUAAGUUCGUGCCAGCAGCCGCGGUAACACGAACCGGACAAACGUUAUUCGGAAUUACUGGGCUUAAAGGGUGCGUAGGCGGUGCGGUAAGUGCGGUGUGAAAUCCCACGGCUCAACCGUGGAAUUGCGCUGCAUACUGCCGUGCUAGAGGGAGACAGGGGUAAGCGGAACUGAUGGUGGAGCGGUGAAAUGCGUUGAUAUCAUCAGGAACACCGGUGGCGAAAGCAGCCCCCUGGGUCAAGAUUGACGCUCAUGCACGAAAGCGUGGGGAGCAAACAGGAUUAGAUACCCGUGUAGUCCCUGAGCGGGCUGGCAAGGCGCAU